RNAcentral lists this unclassified non-coding RNA (1853 nucleotides) under Hevea brasiliensis (rubber tree). The record is from RNAcentral. Lineage: Eukaryota; Viridiplantae; Streptophyta; Magnoliopsida; Malpighiales; Euphorbiaceae.
GCAAACUCUAAUAGCAACCGAUCUUACUGUGUUUGGGAAAGCUUUUUACCCCUUUGUUGGGGAGUUUGGGGGGGAGCGGGUGUUUGUUCAUCGACUCAUCUCGAAAACAAAGGGAAAGAGAAAUAUCAAAUAAAAGGCCUUUUUUUAAUUAUUAUAUUUAGAUUAAACAAGGUACAAACGAACAUCAGAAGCCAAAAUCAUUCUAAUAAGGAUGCAAUAAAUCAUUUCAUAAAGAUACAACUGCCACAUCAAUUGCAAAGUAUAGAAGAAAGCAAACUUGGAUGAGUAUUUAUAACUAAAACCAGAAGAGAUGGCCUAGUGUGAACGUUCACAAGAGGUAUAAAGUUUACCCAACAUGAGAACUGCAUUGACAACCUACAAAAACUCUCUUGAAUUUUGCUCUUCUGAACAGUAAACUAAGAUCAGAAAAAGCAAGGCAAGGGUCUUACAGAUUCAUUUAUGCCAGGAAGCAUGGCUACCAAAACCCAAGGAAAUAAGUUAAAAGAGUCUGGCAUCUGAUUGAGACAACUGCCACUUGUUCUGCAGAACUUUUCUUCAGAACUCCUCUUAAACACAGGUGAUUCAAUAACUUAAGAGCCUCCUUUGCUAAACCUUCAUAAGCUAUUACCUUCAAUGAGUAUGGCGUAUGAAACUCCAGUGGGAUUAAAUCCCCUUGAUACCAUAUAAACCAAGAAGUCAAUGGCACAGUCAGUCUGUUGAGCCUUACAAAGUCCCAACAUAAUAGAAUUGUAAGUGAUAGCAUUGGGUUUGACCCCAAAACCUUCCAAAUCAUGAAAGAACUUAAUUGCUCCAUCAAACUUUCCUUCUCUACUAAGCCCACCAAUAAGUGAAGAGAACGAGACUAUAUCAGGCUUAAGACCCUUUGCCCACAUCUCAUUCAAAACUGACGAGCACCCUUUGCUACUUUGCUGAUUAAGAAUCUCAACUGCUGCAUCAACCUUCCCCAUCUUUGCAUAAUGCUGUUAGCAAAGUGCUACAAGUCAAUAUUAGGAUAACAGCCCCUAGACACCAUUUUCUCCAAAUAUUCAAUUGCCUUUUCCAUCUUCUUUUCUUUAAAAAACACAUGAAGCAACGGAUUGUAACUUAAAGAAUUUGGAAUGCAUCCAUGCUUAGGCAUCUUUUCCAAUAUGUUGAUUGCUGAACCUAACAAACCCUUACAACACAAGAAAUUAAUCAAUAUAUUGAAAGUAACAACACUAGGGGAACAGCCUUUGCAAAACGUUUCAGCCAAUAGCCUCUCUGCAUCCAUCCACCUCCCAUUGCUACACACGCUACGCAAAAUAAUAUCACAAGUAAUAACAUUAGGUUUGCAUCUAUAUGAUGGCAUGUUGUUCAAGAACUUGAUUGCUUCAUCCAACCUCCGUUCCUUGCUUAUUCCAUUUACGAGAACAUUUUAAGUAACCACAUCUGGUUUACAUGCCCUACUUCACAUCUCAUCCAAAAGCUUCAUGGCUUGCCCAACCCCACCUUCCCCGCAAGUUGCCUCAAAUAAUAUGGUAUAUGUGAUGUGAAUCUGGAUAGCACUUCUUUUCCAACUGCUAAAUAAGAACUUCCAUAGCUUGUUUCGAUUUCCCACUAUCACACAAAGUACAGAAUUGUAUUAUACUAGCCACAUCAGGGGCAACACACAUUAGGUACAGAACUCUCCCCGGCCUUACAAUGCCCACUAAUCAAUAAAUUAUAAGUGAUAACAUUAGGAAUUGUCUCUGAAUCCUCUACUUUCUCCAUAAUCCAAUUUGCCUUCCUAGUCUUUCUGAUCUUACAAAAACCAUGAAUUAAACUUGUGUAGAGAUUAUACCAGGAAUAUCGACUCGAUAAACCAUGCUCCAGAG